AGACCGAUUGCUCAGUCGGUAGAGUAUCUGUCUGGAAUAGAAAGAUCCUAGGAUCGACUGCUAGCCAGUCUA
Molecule: non-coding RNA, 72 nt
Organism: Trichophaea hybrida
Lineage: Eukaryota; Fungi; Ascomycota; Pezizomycetes; Pezizales; Pyronemataceae
Source: the annotation of a GenBank genome assembly